GAUGAACGCUGACAGCAUGCCUAACACAUGCAAGUCGAUGGGGAAGUGGUGCUUGCACCCUGGCAUCAAUGGCGGACGGGUGAGUAACGCGUAAGGGACCUACCUGAAGGACAGGGAUAACAGGGGGAAACUAUUGCUAAUACCGGAUAAGCUUAUGCUGCUGCAUGGCUUUAUAAUGAAAGGAGUCGCCUGCGGAGAGGCUUGCGCCCGAUUAGCUAGUUGGUGAGGUAAUGGGUCACCAAGGCGACGAUAGGAAUCCGGCCUGAGAGGGUGGUCGGCCACAAGGGGACUGAGAUACGGCCCUUACUCCUACGGGAGGCAGCAGUGGGGAAUAUUGGACAAUGGUGGCAACACUGAUGCAGCAACGCUGCGUGAAGGAAGAAGGUUUUCGGAUUGUAAAGUUCUUUCUGCAGGGAAGAAGAAAAUGACGGUACCUGCAGAAGAAGCUCCGGCUAACUACGUG
This 463-nucleotide ribosomal RNA is filed under the name uncultured bacterium. Its description in RNAcentral is "partial 16S ribosomal RNA". It matches the Rfam family "Bacterial small subunit ribosomal RNA", at positions 28 to 507 of the family's 1533-position model. The record is from RNAcentral.